AGAGAGCGAGACUCCGUCUCAAAAAAAAAAAGAAAGAAAAAACAGAAAGAAAAGAAAAUGGCGGACAAAGGAAAGGAUCCUCCUUCAAGCAGGGUGGGGAAGAAGGGUACUCCGUGACCAGAGACCUUUUCCAGGACCAUGUCUUUGAAGCAAAUCUCAGCUCUUGUCUUCCGGAAGCGAUGGACACAGAAUCCAGAAGCCUGAGGUGAGAUUUGUGGCCAACACUGCCGCCUUUAGGAAGCCCAGCAGCGCGUCCUCUCAGGCCGGGUCCCUGGAUGAAGCCUCGCCCCGGCCGUGGCUCCACCCCCGGGCUUUUGUAGCACCCUAUAAUUACAUGAACUCUACUAAAAAGAGGGAUACUGGAAAGAAGAAUAAUGUUGAGUCACCUUUGCAGAAGAAAAAACAGCUUCCUCUCUUCCUCUACUUCACUCUGGCAAGUUCUCCAACUGAAAAGCCAGUAGGGAGUGCCAGAAUGUCAUGGCUGACAAAAGAGAUGUUAACAGGCUGUAUGACGUUGGCCACAGAGUGCCCCGCUAAAGAGGCCUCAGAAGAAUGAAGGGUAAGAAGCUCCUUCAUGAAAUCAGAUGGCACAAAAUUGGAGGAAAAAGAGCCCUUGGCAUGAGGCUGCCACCAGGAGAAUUCUGAAGAUGCAGGGCAUGAAUGGUCAAUGCCUUUGAUUAUUGGGGCAUAGGUGGAUGUCUCACCAGAGCCACCUAGAGAUAACAUCUCUGCAAAAGGCUUCAAAAUGGAGCAGGUAACCUGCCUUGAGGAUAAAAUCUGCCAAGAGAUGCCCCUUCCUCCUCUCUUUGAUAUGCAGCCUCAGCCAAGUUUUCAUCUAAUAAAUAUUUACUGCUGGAAGCUAGGAGACACAAGCCUCUGUAAGCCACGGGCUCUGCCCUUCACCUCAAGUGCCUAUUUUAUCAAUGAAUGAAACCGAAGCCCAGAGAGGGUAAGUGACUUCUCUAAAUCAGACAGUAGUAAAUAUCAGAGCCCUAAUGAAUAAAUUCUCUACAUUCAUAAUGCUUUUAUUUUACACAAAUUAAUAUGUAAUUUCUUAAAGUAAAAAGUAUACCCUAAUAUUAAAGUAGUUGGAUGGUUAAGAAUAUUCAUUUUGUCCGUUAAAUGCUGACAAAAUUGGGAAGGGAAAAGCUAUUUUUGGUACUCUAUCACCCAUUAGAUAACUUUUCCUUUCCACUCUUAGCAUCAAUGUCUUCAUAGUUUUUUUCCGUAGCCCCCUCUUAAAAUCUGUUUUCAAGAAUUAUAUUACAUACGACUUCCAGUAAUGUAUAAAAUAAAAGUUUAAAAUGCCAUCCCUCCCAGGAAAACAUUUCACAUAUUGUACAUACAUCUACCUCCAAGCCUUCUAAUAAGCUCCUACCAAAGCAUUUUAGGCAGCCUUUGGGAGGUGGCAGAGGUGGCUUCUGGUAGGAUGACACUGUCUCACCAUUGGCUCCAUGACAUCCUCCCAAUUUACCUACACUGCCACCCCGAAGGCUGUUCUUGGGAUUUCACACUGCACUUGGUUUUAUUAUUUCCAAGGAGGAAUCUUUUCCAGAAGCUCUUAGAGUAAUAUGCUACCACUUGAGGAUGCUCAGUAUAGAUAAACUAUUCAUUUAGGACUUUCAUAUGUUCCCAAUUUCCUAGGAAGUUUCCUCAAUGCUCACACCCUCACAUCCUGACCUCUGUCCCUGGGAUAAGUCACUUGGAGGCAGCUGUUUUCAGGAUGCCCAAAAGCCUGAAGCAGAACAGGUUCUGAGGCAAAAUCCUCUAUAAUUAUAUUUUAAAACAGUAGGUCUAUCCUGGCUCCUAGGGAGACCA
Molecule: non-coding RNA, 1818 nt
Organism: Macaca mulatta (Rhesus monkey)
Lineage: Eukaryota; Metazoa; Chordata; Mammalia; Primates; Cercopithecidae
Source: RefSeq, a predicted model, not a curated record